This 494-nucleotide ribosomal RNA is filed under the name uncultured bacterium. Its description in RNAcentral is "partial 16S ribosomal RNA". It matches the Rfam family "Bacterial small subunit ribosomal RNA", at positions 28 to 507 of the family's 1533-position model. The record is from RNAcentral.
GACGAACGCUGGCGGCGUGCUUAACACAUGCAAGUCGAACGGAAAGGCCUGCUUUCCGUUGUGGAUUGCGGGUACUCGAGUGGCGAACGGACGAGUAACACGUGCGUGUUCUGCACCGAACUUGGGUAUAAGCCUGGGAAACUAGGUCUAAUUCUCGAUAGGACCGCAGGGUGGUGUCGGUGGUGGAGAACGAUUUGCUAGUGGUUGGGGAUGAGCUCGCGGCGUAUCAGGUUGUUGGUGGGGUAUUGGCCUACCAAGGCGGCGACGGGUAGCCUGCGUGGGAGGGUCGACGGGCACACUGGAACGGAGACACGGCCCCGACUCGUACGGGAAGUAGCAGAGGGGAGUAAGGAGCGGUGAGCGUAAGACAGCUGCAGCGACGCCGCGUGGGGGAUGACGGGCUUCGGGUUCUGAACUCCUUGGGACCAACAGAUGGCCACGUGGUUGGACGGGUGGUGACGGUAGUGGUAGAAGAAGCACCGGCUAACUACGUG